Molecule: long non-coding RNA, 1067 nt
Filed under: Eutrema salsugineum
Lineage: Eukaryota; Viridiplantae; Streptophyta; Magnoliopsida; Brassicales; Brassicaceae
Description: long non-coding RNA (ESAL_LNC000709)
Source: RNAcentral
UCCUCCUCCUCCGUUGUAACCUCCAUGGCCACCACCAUAUCCAUCAGGUUUCUCAUUUUCCUCACUCUCUGACUUCACCGUGCCUGUUCCAAACACACACAAAAAAAAAACAAAAUUAUUUCAAAAAUAUUUUUAAGCACGUGCAAAUGUGCAUUCCUUUGCCUAUUUCAUAAUUGAACACUUUUAAAAAAUGUAUAGAAAUUCGGGAUAAUGAUGUAGUUGUAGUGACAGAAUUACUCUGAACAGCUUCUAGUCCAUGUCCCCCGCGGCCUCCAUGUCCCCCGUGGCCUCCUCCUCCGUAGUGUCCUCCUCCGUGGCCACCACCAUAUCCAUCAGGUUUCACAGUUUCCUCACUCUCUGAGUUCACCGUGCCUAUCCCAAAAGCGAAACCACAUUAUUUUAUAAAUAUUGUUAGUACGUACAAAUGUGCAUUCCUCUCCCCAAUUUCAUAAUUAAAUUUCUCUUAAAAACUUUCUAAAAUAUGUAUAUAAUUCCGAUCUCUAGUUAUAAAAAAAAUGAGUUCAACAUUAAAUAUACGUUUUAUAUAAAUUGGCGUCAAGCAUCUAAAUAGUUUGGGAGGGUCUAAUAGGUAUAAGAGCAUGUACAUCAGUGAACCCUUAAAAGAGGGGUUUAACAGAAUAUAAUAACAUUUUUUUUUUGUUUUAGUUUUUUUUUUUUUUAAUUCGAAAAUUAUAAUUUUCGACCAUGUUUUAUUUGGGAUGAUACCGUCUCUUCAGGUUCGUCGGGAUGAUACUGUCUCUUUAAUAUUAAGAUCUUUUGUCUCAAAAACCGUGCCAUGAACCCCUCUUGAUCCUCUGAUGUAGAUGCUCUAAGAAGGACUAAACGUCAUAAGUAAGCGUAAGUGUCUUUUCUUACUAGGACAUCAACAUGAUACUUAAGUGUGUUUAUGACUUAGUGAGUCCAAAUAAUUGACCAUCGUUCACCCCAACUUUUCGCAUUUAAAACGGACGAGAUAGUUGGACAAAAUUAUCAAAUGGUACGUUAGUCCGGUUAGAUUAGCUUCACGAUAAUUUUUUUGUUUUCUAUAAAAUAAUUUUACGUACCCG